UGCAAGUCGAGCGGGGAGAUGUAGCUUGCUACAUUUCCUAGCGGCGGACGGGUGAGUAAUGCUUAGGAAUCUGCCUAUUAGUGGGGGACAACAUUCCGAAAGGAAUGCUAAUACCGCAUACGCCCUACGGGGGAAAGCAGGGGAUCUUCGGACCUUGCGCUAAUAGAUGAGCCUAAGUCAGAUUAGCUAGUUGGUGGGGUAAAGGCCUACCAAGGCGACGAUCUGUAGCGGGUCUGAGAGGAUGAUCCGCCACACUGGGACUGAGACACGGCCCAGACUCCUACGGGAGGCAGCAGUGGGGAAUAUUGGACAAUGGGCGMAAGCCUGAUCCAGCCAUGCCGCGUGUGUGAAGAAGGCCUUUUGGUUGUAAAGCACUUUAAGCGAGGAGGAGGCUACUKRGAUUAAUACUCUAGGAUAGUGGACGUUACUCGCAGAAUAAGCACCGGCUAACUCUGUGCCAGCAGCCGCGGUAAUACAGAGGGUGCGAGCGUUAAUCGGAUUUACUGGGCGUAAAGCGUGCGUAGGCGGCUUUUUAAGUCGGAUGUGAAAUCCCUGAGCUUAACUUAGGAAUUGCAUUCGAUACUGGGAAGCUAGAGUAUGGGAGAGGAUGGUAGAAUUCCAGGUGUAGCGGUGAAAUGCGUAGAGAUCUGGAGGAAUACCGAUGGCGAAGGCAGCCAUCUGGCCUAAUACUGACGCUGAGGUACGAAAGCAUGGGGAGCAAACAGGAUUAGAUACCCUGGUAGUCCAUGCCGUAAACGAUGUCUACUAGCCGUUGGGGCC
RNAcentral lists this ribosomal RNA (780 nucleotides) under Acinetobacter johnsonii. Its description in RNAcentral is "bacterial SSU rRNA". It matches the Rfam family "Bacterial small subunit ribosomal RNA", at positions 56 to 830 of the family's 1533-position model. Lineage: Bacteria; Pseudomonadati; Pseudomonadota; Gammaproteobacteria; Moraxellales; Moraxellaceae. The record is from RNAcentral.